Molecule: ribosomal RNA, 239 nt
Filed under: uncultured bacterium
Lineage: Bacteria
Description: partial 16S ribosomal RNA
Rfam family: Bacterial small subunit ribosomal RNA
Source: RNAcentral
UACGUAGGGGGCAAGCGUUGUCCGGAUUUAUUGGGCGUAAAGAGCGUGUAGGCGGUUUGGUAGGUCCGCUGUGAAAACUCGAGGCUCAACCUCGAGACGCCGGUGGAAACCAUCAGGCGUAGAGUCCGGAAGAGGAGAGUGGAAUCCUGGUGUAGCGGUGAAAUGCGCAGAUAUCAGGAAGAACACCCGUGGCUAAGGCGGCUCUCUAGUACGGUACCUGGACGCUGAGACGCGAAAGC